RNAcentral lists this ribosomal RNA (429 nucleotides) under Gemmatimonadota bacterium. RNAcentral's name for it is "Gemmatimonadetes bacterium partial 16S ribosomal RNA". It matches the Rfam family "Bacterial small subunit ribosomal RNA", at positions 355 to 776 of the family's 1533-position model. The record is from RNAcentral. Lineage: Bacteria; Pseudomonadati; Gemmatimonadota.
UAGGGAAUCUUCGGCAAUGGACGAAAGUCUGACCGAGCAACGCCGCGUGAGUGAAGAAGGUUUUCGGAUCGUAAAACUCUGUUGUUAGAGAAGAACAAGGACGUUAGUAACUUAACGUCCCCUGACGGUAUCUAACCAGAAAGCCACGGCUAACUACGUGCCAGCAGCCGCGGUAAUACGUAGGUGGCAAGCGUUGUCCGGAUUUAUUGGGCGUAAAGCGAGCGCAGGCGGUUUCUUAAGUCUGAUGUGAAAGCCCCCGGCUCAACCGGGUGGGGUCAUUGGAAACUGGGAGACUAGAGUGCAGAAGAGGAGAGUGGAAUUCCAUGUGUAGCGGUGAAAUGCGUAGAUAUAUGGAGGAACACCAGUGGCGAAGGCGGCUCGCUGGUCUGUAACUGACGCUGAGGCUCGAAAGCGUGGGGAGCAAACAGG